GAUGAACGCUGGCGGCGUGCCUAAUACAUGCAAGUCGAGCGAACAGACGAGGAGCUUGCUCCUCUGACGUUAGCGGCGGACGGGUGAGUAACACGUGGAUAACCUACCUAUAAGACUGGGAUAACUUCGGGAAACCGGAGCUAAUACCGGAUAAUAUAUUGAACCGCAUGGUUCAAUAGUGAAAGACGGUUUUGCUGUCACUUAUAGAUGGAUCCGCGCCGCAUUAGCUAGUUGGUAAGGUAACGGCUUACCAAGGCAACGAUGCGUAGCCGACCUGAGAGGGUGAACGCGCACACUGGGACUGAGACACGGUCCAGACUCCUACGGGAGGCAGCAGUAGGGAAUCGUCCGCAAUGGGCGAAAGCCUGACGGAGCAACGCCGCGUGGGUGAUGAAGGUCUUCGGAUCGUAAAACUCUGUUAUUAGGGAAGAACGAAUGUGUAAGUAACUAUGCACGUCUUGACGGUACCUGAUCAGAAAGCCACGGCUAACUACGUG
This 497-nucleotide ribosomal RNA is filed under the name uncultured bacterium. Its description in RNAcentral is "partial 16S ribosomal RNA". It matches the Rfam family "Bacterial small subunit ribosomal RNA", at positions 28 to 507 of the family's 1533-position model. The record is from RNAcentral.